AUAGUUUCUGUCUUAGAGAAUCAGAGAAUCAUAGAAUCGUUAAGGUUGGAAAAGACCCUUAAGAUCAUUGAGUCCAACCGUUAACCUAUCACUGCCAAGUCCACCACUAAACUAUAUCCUCAAGCAGCACGUCUACCCUUCUUUUAAAUACCUCCAGGGAUGGAGCUCAACCACUGCCCUGGGCAGCCUGUUCCAAUGCCUGACAUCUUUUUUUGUGUAGAAAUUUUUUCUAAUGUCUGACCUAAACUUCCCCUGGCACAGCUUGAGGCCAUUUCCUCUCAUCCUAUCACUAGUUACUUGGGAGAAGAGACUGACCCCCACCUCGCUGCAACCUCCUUUCAGGUAACCAUUACACAUGAUGGAGCCCUGCUUUCCUGGAGAUAGCUGAACACCUGCCUGCCGAUGUGAAGUAGUGCAUGAAUUCCUUGUUUUGCUUUGCUUGCACACGCAGCUUUUGCUUUGCCUACUUUAUCUCAACCACAAGUUUUCUCAUUUUUACCUUCCCAAUUAUCUCCCCCAUUCCACCGGUGGAAAGCGAGCAUGUGGAUGCAUGGUGCUGAGCUGCCCACUGGGGUUUAAACCACAACAGUCCUUUUUGGUGCCCAACGUAGGGCUCAAAGGAUUUGAGGAAACAACAGAUUUGAGUGGAGUUCGCUAGGCUGAAUUUAUAGCUGUUACAGCUAUUUAGCUAUUAAUUGGCAGGGUCCUGUGCUUGCCAUGGGGCUUGCUUGCCUUGCUGUACAUUAGAGUCUAGUGCUUGUUAGUGGCUCCUUUUUGCUCUUGCUGUUUGCUUUAGAGCUUAUCAUCUCGCCCUGCUGUGCCUGGGAGCGUUUUGAUAACAGCAGUGACCAUGUGUCUGGGCUGGCCCAUGGCCAGGGCAUCACUGCUGUUCCUGUGCCGCUGUGCUGGACAGGCUGGCGCUCCAGCGUCACCUUGAGCUGAAGGGACUUGACCUGUGGAUAAGUCCAUGCGGGAACAGGACGUCCCAAAGUGUCUAUGGCUGUGGAUAAGUCCAUGUCAGAGCAGAAAUGUCUGUGGCUGCAGAUAUGUCCACACCACAGCUGGUAUACCCCUGAAGGGAUUGUGGUCAAGCAUAAGUCCACACUGGAGAAGGUUCACCUUGAAGCAUCUGUGGCCGUGGAAAAGUCCACAACACAGCAGGUACACCCCUGAGGGGACUGUGGCCCAUGGAUAAGGCUGCACCGGAGGAGGUACACCUUGAAGCAACUGUGGCUGUGGGUAAGUCCAGGCCACAUCACGUAUACUUCUGAGGAGGCUGUGGCCCAUGAGUAAGUCCAUGCCAGAGCAGGUCCACCCCUACGGGGAUGGGGUCUGUGGAUAAGUCCAUGCUAGAGCAAAGGCAAGGGGAGGAGUGCGCUGCUGUGUCCAAAGAGACCAGAGGUGGAGACUGUAAUGGAUACACCUUUAAAUUGUUGUAACCUGUGAUUUGAGCUGCAUCUUGUAGGAAGUACUAUAGCAGGAACUGCCACUGGUGGAGGAUGAGCCUCACAAGAAGCAGUGCAAGUGCAGCAGUGAGCUGACCUGAGCUGGCUUUGGUACCCAAUAACUCCACACAACACUGUCCUGUCCUGACCGACCACCAUAACAGAAAGAACCCAGGUCGUGGGACUAAUGAACUCAAUAGACACGUCAUGGACAUUUUAUGAACAUUUUACAGGGAUGGUCCAUAGACUUAGGGCAUGAUACCUGUGUAUACAUCAAGAGAUGAGUUGGGGUAAGGUGGCUAAUGAGGAUCUACUGGAUAGUGUGGGACCUGAGCAUGAGGUAAAUGGUAUGGAACAAGGUGUGGAGAUUGUACUGUUUUUGGCUGGGACAGAGUUAAUUUUCUUCAUAGUAGCUUGUAUGGUGCUAUGUUUUGGAUCUGUGAUGAAAACAGUGUUGAUAAAACACUGAUGUUCGUGCUUCCCCUUGUGAUCAGGGGAUGCCCACACCGUGAUGAAGGAGGAAGGAUGAGCACUCUCACCAUUGGCUAGGUAAUUAUUUUACUCAUAGGUGCACGAGUUACAAGUUAUGAGUUAAUGAAUUGCGAGUAAUGAAUUAGAGAACUUGUGAGAUAGAAACCACGUGACUUAAGUGAUGAAUUAGUGAAUUCACGUGCUAGAGUAGCCUGUACAAACGGAAUUGAGCUUGUUUUUGUGUUUUUCUUUCCUAAUGAGCUCAUAGCAUGUAGUUUAAUUUAGAGAGUACGUUGUCCUGUAAAUUUGAGAGAUCCAAAUGGAGCGUGACACAGUAGUCUGUGGCCAUUCUCCCUAUUACCUGUCCAAAUACUUUAAAACUGCUUCUUUCCAAAAGAGCGAGCAGGUGCUGACUAGGGACACUCCUUUGAAAGGAGUAGGAGAAAUCCUUCACAAGACUCAAGUUCUGUGUUGGUGUUCUACCCCAAAUUCCUGAUUUCCUUUAAAGGCCUUGCCAAAGACCUCUGGUGCUAGCUCCUCUUCCUGGGUCAGUUAUAAUCCACCCGGCCCUUCCCUCUUGUUUCACUCUCUAUGGACUAUGGACUUUUAGUGUUAAUGUGUGUCAGCCUAAAUAAUUAAAAGCAAUGCACACUGUAUCCCAGAAAAUUAGAAAGGUUCAAAAUGUGCGUCUUCCUUCUCAAAGAAAGGUAGAAACUCAAAUCACAGUCAGCAGAAAAAUGAAUAAGCUAUUUGAUGAUACCAUGUACAACAAAAUAGCAUCAUAAAAAUGAAAUUAUUUGAAGUAAUAUUCAAAUGAUGCAGUCAUCGUUGAUUUAGUUUCCAAUUAUACAGAGGUAAUUGUAUUAAGGAACUGCCUCAUUCAGUUUGGUGGGAUAACAACUGGAAGUUUUAAUGUCAUGGCAUCUGCAGAUAAUAAAUGAUGUGAUCUGUGCUCCUAACUCAACUAGAAUCCUAAUUCUUGUUUUACCCAGGGCAUACUACAAUAUCGCUAUGCCUGAUGAAAGAUACUUCUAUGACCUUCUGGAGCCAAAACAAUUCUGUAAUAAUUCUAGAAUAGAAUAGCUGUUCUAGAAUUAAAUGUUGUAGUAAGCUAAAAUAGUUGAAGGAACUUAUUCAAGAAUUAAUGACCCUGUAUAUAUAGCAAAUUAAAAUCCAUGUUAAAUUCCAUGAAUAGAAACAUUUGCAACCUGCAUUGUACUGCAGAAUCUGGGAAUAGUUUUAAAAGACUUAUUUUUCUGACUUCAACUGCUGAAGCCAGAUGAACUGUAAAUAAACACAUCACAAAGAGUCUAAAGUGCAUCAUGUGCUUUGGAGUCAGAACCCCAUGUCUGAUAUGCUGUUGAACUCCCCACCAUCCUCUAAGUGUUGGAAUACGUUUAUGCCAUAGCUGAGCUGACCCAGCUCCUGCCUGCCCUUUAUAUUCUCAAGUGUUCCCUGGAGCUCAGAGAGCCUAGACGUUUCUCAGCUGCAUCCUAUAAUUGUUCAUGGAUUUUUUGUUGCCCCUUCCAGCCCCCAAAAAAUCCAGAAAGUGUGAAAGCGAAAUAAUACUGAGGUCUCUUUGACUUUCAUUUUCUGAUGCAAGAGACAACACAAGCAUUGGGUAGAACAUCUGUCCUAUCAAAGUAUUUUAGUAUACUAUACUAGCAGUAUCUACAGAAACAGAAUUAAAAACUCAAAUAGAGUUUAAUCUAUGAUACAUUCAUAAUCUCUUCUAGGAAGAACCUUAUCCUCUACCUUACCAUUCUGUAUGUCCUCUUGCUAUAACAGUAGUGUUUGCUAAAUAUGGGAAAUCCCAAGUUAUUUCCUGUUUUGAUUUUCAAACAGAAAGGGAGAAGAUGGUUGCUUUACUGCUACUUUUUUUCCUUGUCUUUUCUCUUUUUAUUUUGAGAUUUUCCUCCUGACAGCCACAUGACAUGGGAAAAUAAUAUGUUGUUUACUCCUUCAGCCUUUUGUCAUGCCCCAUAUAUUCUGCUAACCCAGCAAGCAGUCCUUACUUACCAUGUUUAAAAUAUAAGCAACCUGCUGACUCUAUUCACACUGUUCUGCAAGAGCUGCUCUUGGAGCAGCCACAUGCACAGGAUGCUGUGCUUCUCGUCCGCAGGGCUGUUAUGCAGGCAGCCUGUUAGCUAUCAGCAACUGUCACUGCUGAGCCUGUCCUGAUUUAUCUGGUGGGACGCUAACUUCCAAAUGUGCUCAGCAUUGUGAAGAUGGGCGUAGGCAGGAGGGCAGAUGCCAGUGCUGCGUAGGAAUGCUCGUGCAGCCUCACUGCUAGCCAGGCAGCAGAGGUAAUAGCUGGAACAAGUUGCACAGACUGGCUUCCAGCAUUGAUGUGUCCUCCAUGCCUCAGUAUGAGGACAACAGUCAGAAAUGCAGAAACUCUGGAGUUAUGAUGUUUCCCUUGGUAUUUUGCCUGCUGGUUCUUUUUUUUCUUUCUAGCUUAACUUGCACCUCUUUCUCCUCUCCUAAAUAUGUCAUUAUGUUGCCAGCUAUUAGCUUCACUCCUAACCUCAUCUCUGUUAGUGUGCUGUAGGGAGAUGGUAAUACAUAGGCCUAGGGAUGAACAAAGACUGUAUUUGAAUAGGAAGCAAUCUCAAGCAAUCGGUGUGAUCCUCGGCACUAUACUGGACCGUGUGUCUACCUUUUAUUUAAACAGGUGGUAGAAACAGGGAGGUUUGUCUCUGGAAGUGAGUUUCCGAGGAAACAAAAACUCAGCCUGAUUCUCAGAAUAUAAAUGCAACCCUCAUUUUUAUGCACUCUUUUGGGAUCUGCUACUACCACUCUUUUGGCAGCUGCUCAGCACGAGCAGCUAACAAAGCAGUGUUGGGAUCUCCGGCAGCCCAUGACCUGCUGACCCUUUUUUUUCUAUUUUGUACUUCUAAGUACUCUGUUCCAGAAGAAGUCAUCCAUUAUGGGUUCCCCUUAAUCACUCUUAAAGGUUUGGACAAGUUAAACAUAUACACGUAUUUCCAAAUAAAUCUGGCCUCCAGAGUUGAUUGUUAUUCUGGCUUUUUUCAGAACUCUUCCUCAUCUAUCUUUGGUGUUUUUGAUAGUGCUGUUGAUGGAACUGAAUAUUUUAAGCCAAAAUCAUAAAGAAAAUUACUUAACCUGAUGCUGUUACAGCUCUUCAUGUGGAGUCCAAAAUGACAUUGCUCUUAUGCCUUGCCAUAUCCUGUGCAAACUUGCAUCUAGUUGCCAGGGGAGAAGAAAGGGACUUUCCCCUCAGUCUCUUUUCCAAUUCAUACUAUUCAGGCUAUUCCUUCCACUGAAAAAGUAUUAGAAUUAUUUGUACACUAUUUUUCAAUUUGCCUUAUUUUAGAUAAAAACUAUUACUUUUUGAGUGCAUCAUUUAUUUACACUCCAUCUAUAAUUCUCUCUUCACUGGUAUUUCCAUGUUUUUGUGAUGUACAAUUGUAAAUGUCAGCAGCAUGCUGAAGUUUACUUUAUUUUCCCAAUGAAAAUAUUUUAAAAAAUCAGCCCUCACACCCAUAUCUAUCAUACCCCAGACAUCUCCUCACAGUUCAAUGUAUUCUGUGUCUUUGCAACACUGUGUUAAGGUUCCCAGUAUAUACUGGGGUUUCCAGCAUACUGUAAGCCAUGUUUGAGAGGGAGAAGCCUACAUGGGGGCCGGAGCAGCAGUUUGGUAGCUGGCAGAAGGAGCCAGCCCGAGAGCUUCCCAGGGAAAUAGCUUGCUGCUGGCAGGGUGUCAUUAGUAGCAGCAGGAGGACAUAAGGAGGCAAGAGACACAACAAAACUGCAUAUGUGACUGGCAGAAGACUGGUGUCAAAUGGUCCCAACAAGGCCCACCCCAUACGAUCAUAACCCUCAUUUGAGAUUCAGCUGCAGGGCUGAUAACGUUGCCGCUGUUAAGCGUUAAUUGUGCUUAAGGGAGUUGUCCUAUUUGUUCGGAGAAAGCCAUAAAGCAGUCGCAUUACUUCUGCAGACCCUGCAUGUUAAACGAGGACAGCCUGGUAACUAGAGCCUGCAAAGCCUCCUGCCUCCAACACCUACAGCGCUUGGCACUGAGCGGGGGGAGCCCCAGCUGGGAGGGGGUGUCUUCACCCACCAUCAGGGGAUGGGUGCCCCACAACAAACUUACAGCUUCCCUAGCAAAGCCAGCCUGAAUUCAUUUUUCAAGUAAGAUUUUUAUGGAGUAUGAUUUGAAACCUUAAUAAAGUCUAUUACGUUA
Phalacrocorax carbo (great cormorant) is the source of this 6123-nucleotide non-coding RNA. The record is from RefSeq and is a predicted model, not a curated record. NCBI's taxonomy places the organism in Eukaryota, Metazoa, Chordata, Aves, Suliformes, Phalacrocoracidae.